CAGCACCAGUGCAUCGUUGAAGGGCACCGCCAUUCCUGAGGUGAAGAGAAAGGGAAGAAGACAUUCCAUCUUACCUGCUCCUAUUCCUGGAUACAACAUCACCAGAGGGUUUCGGUCCGCUUCUUCCACCUGAGACAUCAAGGGACUCUCCAGUGCUCCUCCUCUGCAGGUUCCAAUUACCCAAUGAAUGUUCACUUGGACAUUCAAAUAAAAAAGCACCAUGGACUUGACUCAGAUGUAUACAUGUAAAGAUCUUUAUUAAGCUUAUAUUUAUCGUGCACCACAUGAGGGGAGAGAGGAGGAGAUCUGCCCCAGUCCAUCGGUGACAGAUACAGCAGAGGGCGAAUCUGCUCUUUUGAGAAAAAGGAGCUUGUUUCUAUUCCGAUACCUACACCACUUCACACAUGGAGAGUUAUCUUGGCUCCCCUUUGAGAUAACACAACCGGUGGCUGGAAAAUGAUGUUAAAAUAAUAAGAGAUGGGCUGCAGUGCUACUGGCUACCACUAGGGGCCGCUGGACAUGGCAGAGCCCCCCUCACACAUAGAAGAUCCUGCCAGAGGGAUUGGGAAGGAGCUACAGGGAUCUCGGAAACUGCAGUUCCCAGCAUAUUCUGAGGAAAGGAGGUGGCAAC
Mauremys mutica (yellowpond turtle) is the source of this 631-nucleotide long non-coding RNA. RefSeq lists it as uncharacterized. Lineage: Eukaryota; Metazoa; Chordata; Testudines; Geoemydidae. The transcript is spliced from 4 exons. The record is from RefSeq and is a predicted model, not a curated record.